AGUGAGGAAUAUUGCACAAUGGAGGAAACUCUGAUGCAGCAACGCCGCGUGGAGGAUGACGCAUUUCGGUGUGUAAACUCCUUUUAAGAGGGAAGAUAAUGACGGUACCUCUUGAAUAAGCACCGGCUAACUCCGUGCCAGCAGCCGCGGUAAUACGGAGGGUGCAAGCGUUACUCGGAAUCACUGGGCGUAAAGGGUGCGUAGGCUGGCUUCUAAGUCAGAUGUGAAAUCCAAUGGCUUAACCAUUGAACUGCAUUUGAAACUGGGAGCCUAGAGUUCAGAAGGGGCAGAUGGAAUUAGUGGUGUAGGGGUAAAAUCCGUAGAUAUCACUAGGAAUAUCAAAAGCGAAGGCGAUCUGCUGGGAUGAUACUGACGCUGAGGCACGAAAGCGUGGGGAGCAAACAGGAUUAGAUACCCUGGUAGUCCACGCCCUAAACGAUGAAUGCUAGUCGUCGGGGAGCUCGUCUCUUCGGUGAUGCACUUAACAGAUUAAGCAUUCCGCCUGGGGAGUACGGUCGCAAGAUUAAAACUCAAAGGAAUAGACGGGGACCCGCACAAGUGGUGGAGCAUGUGGUUUAAUUCGAAGAUACACGAAGAACCUUACCUGGCCUUGACAUCCCAAGAACCCUUAAGAGAUUAGGGGGUGCUAGCUUGCUAGAACUUGGUGACAGGUGCUGCACGGCUGUCGUCAGCUCGUGUCGUGAGAUGUUGGGUUAAGUCCCGCAACGAGCGCAACCCUCGUCGUUAGUUGCUAACAGUUCGGCUGAGCACUCUAACGAGACUGCCUUCGCAAGGAGGAGGAAGGUGAGGACGACGUCAAGUCAUCAUGGCCCUUACGGCCAGGGCUACACACGUGCUACAAUGGGGCGUACAAAGAGCUGCAAUACCGCGAGGUGGAGCCAAUCUCUUAAAGCGUCUCUCAGUUCGGAUUGUUCUCUGCAACUCGAGAACAUGAAGCUGGAAUCACUAGUAAUCGUAGAUCAGCUAUGCUACGGUGAAUACGUUCCCGGGUCUUGUACUCACCGCCCGUCACACCAUGGGAGUUGAUUUCACCCGAAAUCGGGAUGCCAAACUGGCUACCGCUUACGGUGGAAUUAGCGACUGGGGUG
This 1109-nucleotide ribosomal RNA is filed under the name uncultured bacterium. RNAcentral describes it as "bacterial SSU rRNA". It matches the Rfam family "Bacterial small subunit ribosomal RNA", at positions 353 to 1482 of the family's 1533-position model. The record is from RNAcentral.